Molecule: unclassified non-coding RNA, 252 nt
Filed under: Ascomycota sp.
Lineage: Eukaryota; Fungi; Ascomycota
Description: partial contains small subunit ribosomal RNA, internal transcribed spacer 1, and 5.8S ribosomal RNA
Rfam family: Eukaryotic small subunit ribosomal RNA (bases 1-47)
Source: RNAcentral
AAAGUCGUAACAAGGUCUCCGUUGGUGAACCAGCGGAGGGAUCAUUACAAGAAGCCGAAAGGCUACUUCAAACCAUUGCGAACUCGUCCAAGUUGCUUCGGCGGUGCGGCUCCCCCCGGGGUGCCGCGGCGCCGCGCCUCCCCGGAGGUGCGGGGCACCCGCCGGAGGUCACAAACUCUCAUGUAUUAUAGUGGUAUCUCUGAGUAAAACACAAAUAAGUUAAAACUUUCAACAACGGAUCUCUUGGUUCUG